GGCGCUUUAUACCCACCUAGAGGAGCCUGUUCUAGAACCGAUACCCCUCGUUCAACCUCACCUUCUCUUGUUCCCCCCCGCCUAUAUACCGCCGUCGUCAGCCCACCCUGUGAAGGUCUAAUAGUGAGCAAAAUUGGUACAACCCAAAACGUCAGGUCGAGGUGUAGCGUAUGGGAAGGAAGAAAUGGGCUACAAUUGCUAAAACAGCUAACACGAACUGUCUCGCUGAAAUCGCGAACAUGAAGGAGGAUUUAGAAGUAAGGUGAAAGCAGAGUGUUCCCCUGAACAGGCCCUAAAGCGUGCACAUACCGCCCGUCACCCUCCCCAAGCUAAAUCAAUGACUAUUAAUUAAGAAUUAUAUCCUGCAAAGGGGAGGCAAGUCGUAACAUGGUAAGUGUACCGGAAGGUGCACUUGAGUAAAUU
RNAcentral lists this ribosomal RNA (423 nucleotides) under Ostorhinchus hoevenii (frotsfin cardinalfish). RNAcentral's name for it is "partial 12S ribosomal RNA". It matches the Rfam family "Bacterial small subunit ribosomal RNA", at positions 915 to 1533 of the family's 1533-position model. Lineage: Eukaryota; Metazoa; Chordata; Actinopteri; Kurtiformes; Apogonidae. The record is from RNAcentral.